Molecule: long non-coding RNA, 3275 nt
Organism: Falco peregrinus (peregrine falcon)
Lineage: Eukaryota; Metazoa; Chordata; Aves; Falconiformes; Falconidae
Exons: 3
Source: RefSeq, a predicted model, not a curated record
GAAUGUGAUGGACUUCUUAAUCUUGAUUGUUAACUGGAAUCUCUGUAACAGACUUACUUAUCCAGACAUAAUAGAUACUGAGAAGUUAAUAAUAAACUCAGAAAUCUGCCGCUUAACCACCUGUCUUGUUAAUUAUGUUAACAACACAUUGGCAAUUGCUUUGAUUUAAACACUCUGAGUUUGGUUUGCCUUUUCAGUUCCAGUUCACUGUCCACACAGCUUCCUUUCGGCUGUGCUCUCUGCCUUCCCGGGCACACGGAGGAGCACACGAGGUUGCCCAGGGAGGCUUCUGUGAACCCCAGGACGAACACUCUGUGUCAGGGCAUCCCUGUAUGCUCAAUACUGAAAGACAGGCACUUCUUUUCAACAGGUCAGAAGGGUCGAAAGGUCUGCUGCUCAAAGCUUCUCAAACUCAACAAAAAACCACAUAAAGGUGUAAAUUUCAAAAUGACUCCGAUGGAAAUAAGGAAAUACUGCAAGCCUUGUCCUCGUCCAGGUCUUCCGAUGGCUCCUGGACCCCUUCCACAGUUAAGAUGAGCAGACUGAAAAGCAUCUGCCUGCCAGCACAUCUCACAGCGUUUUACUUGGUUGAGGGCCCUCCUUUCACAGAUAGGACCUAUGUGUAUAUUGCUUUUACUUUGUGUUUGGGAAAGGCUUCAGUGCUGUUUCUGUGGUCACUCAGGCUCCUACGUCUUGUUGACAUUAGCUUGGCAGCUGAAGAGGCAGGCAAAGGUGCCUGGCUACCACUGGACCUUGCCUCAGCUGCAUAUUCCUCUGCACCAAACAGGGGUUUAGCUCCUCAAAAAAGAGGAGGAGGAGAGCUGGCUGCAUCACUUUGUUUUGCAUAUUUCGAUUGCUUGAAAGAUGGGAAGGGGCAGAUGUUAUUGUUUCUAGUUAUCAGUAUAUAUGUGUAUUUAACCUUUUCUAUGAAUGAUUUAUUUUAUAUCGACAAGAAGAUUUCUUUUGUAGCUAGGCACGUGAUGAUUUUUCCAGCAGCUUUUGCUCUCGGUGCUUCAAGUCCACCUGGAAGUAGUUUUCUAGCAAGUGAGAGAGAGCUCAUCAUUUAGAAAGGGCUGAGAAACUAGAUAAGCAGGUUGUUAAAAAAGCGGUAAAGGACCAGAUUCCAGUACAGUGGUAAGCUUUUCAGUAUCUCCUCUGGGCAUUUAAAUCUGGCUUUAAAAGUGAGGGGGCUUGUUCUUUAACUUCCUAGAAGAAUGUCAUCAGGUGGCUAUUAAACAGUGUACUGAAAAGAUGUUAAGGCUAAUCAGAUUAAAUCUCUCCCUCCUGAAGCCAGAAGGCAGCUGUUCUUUUAAGACACCCGAGUUGUGUGUGAUCACCUCAAUAAACAAAACUUACUGGAGCAUGAAAUAAAUGCUAAGAAUAAUACCAAAGGGCUGAAUAACGGAGAAACAGAAGCACCCUCUGCUGACAUUGUUAGCAGUGAUUGGGGUCUUCACUCACAUAUCUUCUGUCUUUUCCUACCCGUCUUAUGCAUAUGCUGCUUAUUUCUCUGCCUGGGGGUGAGCCCUUAAAACAGAAUUGCUUGGUGGCUCAUAAAUUUGGUUUUCCUUCUAGUGAAUAUGAGGAGGAGUAGAAAGCUUUGCUGUUGGGCAAACUGCAGAUUGUAAAUUGUAAUUUUUCCCUCAGUACUCAUAGUACUACUGUUCCUCUUAACAUGAUUGUCAAUACAAUAGGAAUGGUCUCGGUGCCCUUCAGCAUUUUGGGGAGUUGGAUGGGGACAGUCGGAGGUCUGUGGUUACCCACGCAGGCACAUGCAGUUCCCAGGGGUCAAGUUUAUGGGCACUUACACGUGGCCAUGCUCCCAUUGGCAAUGUUUCUAUCGCACUGAGAAACUGAACCUAUUUCUGGGCCUUCUGUGUGCUUGUUACUACUUUAUUUUCUGAUUGACUUUGGGAUUAGAUAGAACUGACUCUCAGCUUCCUAUUUUUGAAGAGCUGACCAUGCAUAGCAUUUUUAUAUCAAGGAUGAAGGAGCUGCCAGUCCUCCUCACCAGAUCUCUGAGUGGGGAGGCUGGUGAAGGAGCUGUGUUUGACUGCUCUGUUGCUGAUCACUUGGCCAACAUAUUUUAUUUCUAUUUUGUCUUUUGUAGCUUGCAGAUGAAUCUGUAGAAUACAAAUGGCAAGUAAAGUUAAAAGCAUUUUUGAUAUUAAACGUGUUUGCAGUAGGGUUUUCCUCUGUAGACUAUGGCCAUAUGUGUUUACAGCUCUGUAUGAAGCAUUGCUAACAGGUAUGAAGAUUCUGUUCUCUAAAGUGAACUUAAACCCAUUCCUUCCAUAUCUGAAAAAUGCCGCAUGAUUUUUGGUUUUGCACCACGCCCUCCAACCAGCGUGCGCCACACUACAGUCCUCCUUCAGGCAACAUGUUCUCUCUGCUGGCAAAAACAUAAGCCCCAAAGACCAUCAGCACAAUUACAGAAAUACUCUGGGUCUCUGGAGGGAUCCCAGGACAUCAUUUAAUGCGCUUCAGUGUUUUUACUCAAUGAGUGUCCCAGAGUGGCCUCAAUCUAAGGUGAGGGCUAUUCCAGUUAAAGCUGUUCCUUGUGUGAGGUCCAAGUCUUGGCCGAAAGAACUAAAGCAGGUACACUCAAAUUAUUUCAGCAUGAUUGUGACCACUGCCCAAACAUCUUUUUUUGCUUCAUCUGAGGGUAUCGGGAUAUUAUGUGUCAGCCCUUGAAGGUGGUUCUUCAACAGAGUUUGCCUCUUACACAGCAGGCUGUUUUCCCCAUGUGGCAGGUAGAACAGAGGUACCUCUCAUCAUGAUUUCACCUACAGGCAUCUGUUCUUCCUUUUGUUUUCCUUUUGCUUCUGCGUAUAUUUGUUUGGCCCUACCUGAGGAGAAACAUAUUUGUUCAGUGGCUUUUCAAAGUACACAAGCUGUAUGCUUAUAUAAAGUAGUAAAUUUAGCUUGUCCAAGCUGACAAAUGCUUUUUUUUUUUGGUGUCUUGUGGUUUUUGUGUGCGUUUGGCAGUCAAGCAAGAAAAUUGCACAGCCAAGUUCCAAUAAAGAUGUUUCUGAAGUAUCUCUAUGCCUGCCAGAACAGAUGUUGGACCCUGGUCUGACCUUGUCAACUGAGUGAGGCAGGUGGUCCCUCACUUUGCUUAGAACUUGAUGCCACCAGCUAACACUGAAUCAGUCUGUCUUAGUUGGCACUGUGACUGUGCCUUGUCAGGAGCGCAGGAGAAACCAUCCCUGCUGACAGGCACGGCAGGGUUUCAGGUCUCUUCUUCUGAAGUGGGUAGUAGAAGGUAUAAAAUA